CUACGGGUUGCACCAGUGGGGAAUAUUGCACAAUGGGCGCAAGCCUGAUGCAGCCAUGCCGCGUGUAUGAAGAAGGCCUUCGGGUUGUAAAGUACUUUCAGCGGGGAGGAAGGGAGUAAAGUUAAUACCUUUGCUCAUUGACGUUACCCGCAGAAGAAGCACCGGCUAACUCCGUGCCAGCAGCCGCGGUAAUACGGAGGGGUGCAAGCGUUAAUCGGAAUUACUGGGCGUAAAGCGCACGCAGGCGGUUUGUUAAGUCAGAUGUGAAAUCCCCGGGCUCAACCUGGGAACUGCAUCUGAUACUGGCAAGCUUGAGUCUCGUAGAGGGGGGUAGAAUUCCAGGUGUAGCGGUGAAAUGCGUAGAGAUCUGGAGGAAUACCGGUGGCGAAGGCGGCCCCCUGGACGAAGACUGACGCUCAGGUGCGAAAGCGUGGGGAGCAAACAGGAUUAGAUACCCCAGUAGUC
This 465-nucleotide ribosomal RNA is filed under the name uncultured bacterium. RNAcentral's name for it is "partial 16S ribosomal RNA". It matches the Rfam family "Bacterial small subunit ribosomal RNA", at positions 339 to 795 of the family's 1533-position model. The record is from RNAcentral.